GAUGUGGUGACGGAACGGGAACGUGACGGAUUGCAACUCCGAUGCCUCCUUAGGGAGUGCGGGUUCAAAUCCCGCUCACAUCU
RNAcentral lists this transfer RNA (83 nucleotides) under Phaeobacter phage MD18. It matches the Rfam family "tRNA". From Rfam's summary of the family: Transfer RNA (tRNA) molecules are approximately 80 nucleotides in length. Their secondary structure includes four short double-helical elements and three loops (D, anti-codon, and T loops). Further hydrogen bonds mediate the characteristic L-shaped molecular structure. tRNAs have two regions of fundamental functional importance: the anti-codon, which is responsible for specific mRNA codon recognition, and the 3' end, to which the tRNAs corresponding amino acid is attached (by aminoacyl-tRNA synthetases). tRNAs cope with the degeneracy of the genetic code in two manners: having more than one tRNA (with a specific anti-codon) for a particular amino acid; and 'wobble' base-pairing, i.e. permitting non-standard base-pairing at the 3rd anti-codon position. The record is from Rfam by way of RNAcentral. Lineage: Duplodnaviria; Heunggongvirae; Uroviricota; Caudoviricetes.